ACGGCUCAUUAAACCAGCUAUAAUCUACUUGAUCUUGACAUAUAUCUACUUGGAUAACUGUGGUAAUUCUAGAGCUAAUACAUGCAUAAAUUCUCUGACCUUGCGGGAAGAGCGCAUUUAUUAGAGCAAAACCAGGCGGCUUCGGUCGUUUUUUGCUGACUCAGAAUAACUCAGCUGAUCGCACGGUCAUUGUACCGGCGACGUGUCUUUUGAGUAUCUGCCUUAUCAAUUUUCGAUGGUAGUGUAUCUGACUACCAUGGUUUUGACGGGUAACGGAGAAUCAGGGUUCGACUCCGGAGAAGGGGCCUGAGAAAUGGCCACUACGUCUAAGGAUGGCAGCAGGCGCGCAAAUUACCCACUCUCGGAAUGAGGAGGUAGUGACGAGAAAUAACGAGACCGUUCUCUUUGAGGCCGGUUAUCGGAAUGGGUACAAUUUAAACCCUUUAACGAGUAUCUAUGAGAGGGCAAGUCUGGUGCCAGCAGCCGCGGUAAUUCCAGCUCUCAAAAUGCAUAGAACCAUUGCUGCGGUUAAAAAGCUCGUAGUUGAAUCUAUGCCUGAGGCUUGGUCCACUCUUCGAGUGCGUACUAGGUUCUUUGGCUUUUCGUCGGUUUUCUUGUCGUGGCCUUUAUUGGUGGCGGCAAGUGGCUGACAAUUUUACUUUGAACAAAUCAGAGUGCUUAAAACAGGCGUCUCGCUUGUAUGCUUUUGCAUAGAAUAAUGGAACACGACUUCGGUCUGGUUUUAUUGGUUUUAUAGAUCGUUGUAAUGAUUAAAAGAGACAAACGGGGGCAUUCGUAUUGUUGCGUGAGAGGUGAAAUUCUUGGACCGCAGCAAGACGACCUACAGCGAAAGCAUUUGCCAAGCUUGUCUUCAUUAAUCAAGAACGAAAGUCAGAGGAUCGAAGGUGAUCAGAUACCGCCCUAGUUCUGACCGUAAACGAUGCCAACUAGCGAUUCGCCGGCGGAUUAUUUGCCCUGGCGAGGAGCUUCCCGGAAACGAAAGUCUUCCGGUUCCGGGGGAAGUAUGGUUGCAAAGCUGAAACUUAAAGGAAUUGACGGAAGGGCACCACCAGGAGUGGAGCCUGCGGCUUAAUUUGACUCAACACGGGAAAACUCACCCGGCCCGGACACUAUAAGGAUUGACAGAUUGAUAGCUCUUUCAUGAUUUGGUGGAUGGUGGUGCAUGGCCGUUCUUAGUUCGUGGAGUGAUUUGUCUGGUUUAUUCCGAUAACGAGCGAGACUCUAGCCUACUAAAUAGUCUGCUCAUUGCCAAUGUGUGGCAGUACUUCCUAGAGGAAUUUUCGGUGUUUAACCGCAUGAAAUUGAGCAAUAACAGGUCUGUGAUGCCCUUAGAUGUCCGGGGCUGCACGCGCGCUACACUGGUAAAGUCAGCGUGCGUCUCCUUUCUCGAAAGAGAUUGGUAAACCAGUGAACGUUUGCCGUGAUAGGGAUCGGAAAUUGCAAUUAUUUUCUGUGAACGAGGAAUUCCAAGUAAAUGUGAGUCAUCAACUCGCGUUGAUUACGUCCCUGCCCUUUGUACACACCGCCCGUCGCUGCCCGGGACUGAGCCAUUUCGAGAAAAUUGGGGAUUGCUGACUGACGGUUCUUCGGGAUUGUCUUUUGGUGAAAACCAGCUUAAUCGUA
This 1644-nucleotide ribosomal RNA is filed under the name Deladenus proximus. RNAcentral's name for it is "SSU rRNA". It matches the Rfam family "Eukaryotic small subunit ribosomal RNA". Lineage: Eukaryota; Metazoa; Nematoda; Chromadorea; Rhabditida; Sphaerulariidae. The record is from RNAcentral.